This 1358-nucleotide ribosomal RNA is filed under the name Microbacterium sp. LB030. Its description in RNAcentral is "bacterial SSU rRNA". It matches the Rfam family "Bacterial small subunit ribosomal RNA", at positions 1 to 1374 of the family's 1533-position model. Lineage: Bacteria; Bacillati; Actinomycetota; Actinomycetes; Micrococcales; Microbacteriaceae. The record is from RNAcentral.
UGGAGAGUUUGAUCCUGGCUCAGGACGAACGCUGGCGGCGUGCUUAACACAUGCAAGUCGAACGAUGAAGCCCAGCUUGCUGGGUGGAUUAGUGGCGAACGGGUGAGUAACACGUGAGUAACCUGCCCUUGACUCUGGGAUAAGCGUUGGAAACGACGUCUAAUACCGGAUACGAGCUUCCACCGCAUGGUGAGUUGCUGGAAAGAAUUUUGGUCAAGGAUGGACUCGCGGCCUAUCAGCUUGUUGGUGAGGUAAUGGCUCACCAAGGCGACGACGGGUAGCCGGCCUGAGAGGGUGACCGGCCACACUGGGACUGAGACACGGCCCAGACUCCUACGGGAGGCAGCAGUGGGGAAUAUUGCACAAUGGGCGAAAGCCUGAUGCAGCAACGCCGCGUGAGGGACGACGGCCUUCGGGUUGUAAACCUCUUUUAGCAGGGAAGAAGCGAAAGUGACGGUACCUGCAGAAAAAGCACCGGCUAACUACGUGCCAGCAGCCGCGGUAAUACGUAGGGUGCAAGCGUUGUCCGGAAUUAUUGGGCGUAAAGAGCUCGUAGGCGGUUUGUCGCGUCUGCUGUGAAAUCCCGAGGCUCAACCUCGGGUCUGCAGUGGGUACGGGCAGACUAGAGUGCGGUAGGGGAGAUUGGAAUUCCUGGUGUAGCGGUGGAAUGCGCAGAUAUCAGGAGGAACACCGAUGGCGAAGGCAGAUCUCUGGGCCGCUACUGACGCUGAGGAGCGAAAGGGUGGGGAGCAAACAGGCUUAGAUACCCUGGUAGUCCACCCCGUAAACGUUGGGCGCUAGAUGUGGGGACCAUUCCACGGUUUCCGUGUCGUAGCUAACGCAUUAAGCGCCCCGCCUGGGGAGUACGGCCGCAAGGCUAAAACUCAAAGGAAUUGACGGGGGCCCGCACAAGCGGCGGAGCAUGCGGAUUAAUUCGAUGCAACGCGAAGAACCUUACCAAGGCUUGACAUAUACGAGAACGGGCCAGAAAUGGUCAACUCUUUGGACACUCGUAAACAGGUGGUGCAUGGUUGUCGUCAGCUCGUGUCGUGAGAUGUUGGGUUAAGUCCCGCAACGAGCGCAACCCUCGUUCUAUGUUGCCAGCACGUAAUGGUGGGAACUCAUGGGAUACUGCCGGGGUCAACUCGGAGGAAGGUGGGGACGACGUCAAAUCAUCAUGCCCCUUAUGUCUUGGGCUUCACGCAUGCUACAAUGGCCAGUACAAAGGGCUGCAAUACCGUAAGGUGGAGCGAAUCCCAAAAAGCUGGUCCCAGUUCGGAUUGAGGUCUGCAACUCGACCUCAUGAAGUCGGAGUCGCUAGUAAUCGCAGAUCAGCAACGCUGCGGUGAAUACGUUCC